UACGUAGGGACCAAGCGUUGUUCGGAUUUACUGGGCGUAAAGGGCGCGUAGGCGGCGAAUCAAGUCAGUUGUGAAAUCUCCGAGCUUAACUCGGAACGGUCAACUGAUACUGUUUUGCUAGAGUGCAGAAAGGGCAACCGGAAUUCUUGGUGUAGCGGUGAAAUGCGUAGAUAUCAAGAGGAACACCUGAGGCGAAGGCGGGUUGCUAGGCUGACACUGACGCUGAAGCGCGAAAGCUAGGGGAGCAAACAGG
Molecule: ribosomal RNA, 253 nt
Filed under: uncultured bacterium
Lineage: Bacteria
Description: partial 16S ribosomal RNA
Rfam family: Bacterial small subunit ribosomal RNA
Source: RNAcentral